UACGAAGGGUGCAAGCGUUACUCGGAAUUACUGGGCGUAAAGCGUGCGUAGGUGGUGAGUUAAGUCUGUCGUGAAAGCCCCGGGCUCAACCUGGGAAUGGCGAUGGAUACUGGCUCGCUAGAGUGCGGUAGAGGAGAGUGGAAUUCCUGGUGUAGCGGUGAAAUGCGCAGAUAUCAGGAAGAACACCCGUGGCGAAAGCGGCUCUCUGGAACGGUACUGACGCUGAGACGCGAAAGCGUGGGGAGCGAACAGG
This 253-nucleotide ribosomal RNA is filed under the name uncultured bacterium. RNAcentral's name for it is "partial 16S ribosomal RNA". It matches the Rfam family "Bacterial small subunit ribosomal RNA", at positions 524 to 776 of the family's 1533-position model. The record is from RNAcentral.